ACACGUAUGAAAGACAAGCUGAAAGACUUUUCUCAAUGAUGUAAGUGGUGGUGCAUGGUCGUUCUUAGUUCGUGGAGUGGUUUGUCUGGUCUAUUCCGAUAACGAGCGAGACCCCGACGUUCCUAAUAGGGGCAGCAGCCCGGCUUUCGCCCGCAAGGGUGUUCGCUAGCAGCUGCCUCACAAUAUGCUUCUUAGACGUAUCAGAGCCGAUAAGGUUCUUGAAAUGGGUUAAUAACAGGUCAGUCAUGCCCUUAGAUGUUCUGGGCCGCACGCGCGUUACAAUGGCAUGCUUAGAAAGUGCUCAAAAGGGCGUCUCCGCGGCCUACCGGCUGUGGUAACCCCUAGUCCCUGCCUUGACUGGGACAGACUAUUGCAAUUAUUGGUCUCAAACGAGGAAUUUUUAGUAGUCACAGGUCAUUAACCUGUGACGA
Molecule: ribosomal RNA, 431 nt
Rfam family: Eukaryotic small subunit ribosomal RNA